ACGGCUCAGUAACACGUGGACAACCUACCCUUAGGUCGGGGAUAAACCCGGGAAACUGGGUAUAAUACCCGAUAGAUCUCGGCUGCUGGAAUGCAUCGAGAUCGAAAGCUCCGGCGCCUAAGGAUGGGUCUGCGGCCUAUCAGGUAGUAGUGGGUGUAGCGUACCUACUAGCCUACGACGGGUACGGGUUGUGAGAGCAAGAGCCCGGAGAUGGAUUCUGAGACACGAAUCCAGGCCCUACGGGGUGCAGCAGGCGCGAAAACUUUACAAUGCUGGAAACAGCGAUAAGGGGACCUCGAGUGCCAGGUUACAAAUCUGGCUGUCGUGAUGCCUAAAAAGCAUUGCAUAGCAAGGGCCGGGCAAGACCGGUGCCAGCCGCCGCGGUAACACCGGCGGCUCGAGUGGUAACCGUUAUUAUUGGGUCUAAAGGGUCUGUAGCCGGCCGGAUAAGUCUCUUGGGAAAUCCAGCAGCUCAACUGUUGGUCUUUCAGGAGAUACUGUCUGGCUCGAGGCCGGGAGAGGUGAGAGGUACUUCAGGGGUAGGGGUGAAAUCUUGUAAUCCUUGAAGGACCACCAGUGGCGAAGGCGUCUCACCAGAACGGACCUGACGGCAAGGGACGAAAGCUAGGGGCACGAACCGGAUUAGAUACCCGGGUAGUCCUAGCCGUAAACGAUACUCGCUAGGUGUCGGCCACGGUGCGACCGUUGUCGGUGCCGUAGGGAAGCCGUGAAGCGAGCCACCUGGGAAGUACGGCCGCAAGGCUGAAACUUAAAGGAAUUGGCGGGGGAGCAC
RNAcentral lists this ribosomal RNA (793 nucleotides) under uncultured Methanosaeta sp. Its description in RNAcentral is "bacterial SSU rRNA". It matches the Rfam family "Archaeal small subunit ribosomal RNA", at positions 85 to 879 of the family's 1478-position model. The record is from RNAcentral. Lineage: Archaea; Methanobacteriati; Methanobacteriota; Methanomicrobia; Methanotrichales; Methanotrichaceae.